Molecule: ribosomal RNA, 253 nt
Filed under: uncultured bacterium
Lineage: Bacteria
Description: partial 16S ribosomal RNA
Rfam family: Bacterial small subunit ribosomal RNA
Source: RNAcentral
UACGGUGGGAGCAAGCGUUGUUCGGAUUUACUGGGCGUAAAGGGCGCGUAGGCGGUAGCACAAGUCAGUUGUGAAAUCUCCGGGCUUAACUCGGAAAGGUCAACUGAUACUGUGCGACUAGAGUGCAGAAGGGGCAACUGGAAUUCUCGGUGUAGCGGUGAAAUGCGUAGAUAUCGGGAGGAACACCGGUGGCGAAGGCGGUCUUCUGGACGGUGACUGACGCUGAGGCGCGAAAGCGUGGGGAGCGAACAGG